This 233-nucleotide ribosomal RNA is filed under the name uncultured bacterium. RNAcentral describes it as "partial 16S ribosomal RNA". It matches the Rfam family "Bacterial small subunit ribosomal RNA", at positions 103 to 334 of the family's 1533-position model. The record is from RNAcentral.
CGGGUGAGUAACACGUAUCCAACCUGCUGUCUACUCUUGGCCAGCCUUCUGAAAGGAAGAUUAAUCCAGGAUGGGAUCAUGAGUUCACAUGUCCGCAUGAUUAAAGGUAUUUUCCGGUAGACGAUGGGGAUGCGUUCCAUUAGAUAGUAGGCGGGGUAACGGCCCGCCUAGUCAACGAUGGAUAGGGGUUCUGAGAGGAAGGUCCCCCACAUUGGAACUGAGACACGGUCCAA